GUUUAUAUAAACAUGCAUUCAUAUAUUUAGGAAAACUGUUAUGUUUAUAGUAGUGGUGGGCCGUUAUCGUUGGUAACGUGCUGCGUUAACGCGAGACUCUUAUCGGGUGAUUAAAAAAUAUAUCGCCGUUAAUCUAUUCUCAAAGUUGGUUUAGGAGCUGGGUCUAUACUAAAUUUGUAAUGUUGAGUACUUUAAUGUUUAUGAGUAAUAUAUUAUUAUUUAUUUUUUCAUGUAAUAGUUUUUGCAUCAUCUUCCACUGUCUCCCCACCUCCUUCACAUUUUUGUCUUGCCACAUUCAGGACACCGACCUCAGACAUGGUUUCGAAAAGGCACCAAGAGUCGGGGGCGGAAAAAAGAAGAGACAGCGGGAUGACGCUCGCGCAUCGCUUGCAGGUAAGAAUGUUUUAAAUAAAAAUGUUAGUUUUAAAAGAACGGCGUUAGGUAACGACGUUAUUUUUUCAGUAACGCGUAAUCUAAGUAAUUACUUUUCCCGUCGUUACAACGCCGUUAACGUUACUGAAUGUUAAAUGCGGUGCGUUACUAUGCAUUGAUUUAAUAAACUAUGCAAUCCGAAUGCACCCCUGGCUCACACAGCGAUGUGUUUCAUGAUAGCCAAUCAGAGCCAGUGUUUUUACACAAAUGCCGACACUUGCGGCUGCGCCAGUGGCGUCAAACACACACAGACAUACACACACACACGCAACAGCUACACAAAGAUUUGCAGCAGAGAUGGCGAGAUUGCUAGUCAGGAGCAAUCCGAUGAAAAGUUGGCAUUUUCAAGGUGAAGAUAUAAGCACUACUUCAAAUUCAUUGUGGUCAAAGGCAAGAACGUGCAUGUAAUGUGUACAUGCAAUGUGUGACAUGCAUCUACAAAGCUAGUGGCCAAAAACACCCUUUCUUACAAAGAUAAUACUUGAAGUGCAGGAUAAAACUCUUGCUGUCUGUUGAUGUGCAAUAAAUAUUGAAAGUUAUGUACCUGUCUGUUCUACUCAUUUCAACUGACUUGUGAAAACUGCAAAAAAAAAAAAGUACAAAUUCUCUGACAUGUAGCAUUUUUUUCUUCUUUUUUUACAGUAAUGCAAAUAGUUACUUUCCCUGGUAACGAGUUACUUUUAUUAUAGAGUAAUUCAGUUACUAACUCAGUUACUUUUUGGAACAAACACCGCCAAGCAUUUGUGCUUAGGGCACCCAAAUGGCUAGCGCCGGCCCUGUGUUUAUAUAUAUAACAAAACUGUAAUAAUGUGAGAAAUGUUGAAGGUGUCUGAAUAAAUGUAGGUUUGAUUGUAUAUUUCAUUUUUACAUUGAAGACUAUCCAGUGCUAUUUUACAUUUAAUUAUUUGGUUUCUGUACCUUGACAUCUACAAACUUGAAAAAAACUUAAACAUUGGUGCGAAACAGGCGUAAAUGUUGUUUGCACCUUGUGCAAUGUGGAAUUAGUUUACAGCUUUUUCAAGCACUUUGUGAUGCAUUUUGGAAACAGGAGAUGAGCCCUUUUUCUAAUGCACCACCUAGCUUGAUAAAUGCCUUCUCAAAGACUUACUCUUUGUCAAUUUUAUUUGGGUAACACACAUAUUCUGAAUGCCUUUGUCAGAAUUCGAAUGAGCCAUUUUAAUCUAGAUUAUUUUCAAGAUCACAGUGAGAUUA
Carassius auratus (goldfish) is the source of this 1644-nucleotide long non-coding RNA. The record is from Ensembl. NCBI's taxonomy places the organism in Eukaryota, Metazoa, Chordata, Actinopteri, Cypriniformes, Cyprinidae.